CCUACGGUGGGCAGCAGUGAGGAAUAUUGGUCAAUGGACGCAAGUCUGAACCAGCCAUGCCGCGUGCAGGAAGACGGCUCUAUGAGUUGUAAACUGCUUUUGUACGAGGGUAAACGCAGAUACGCGUAUCUGUCUGAAAGUAUCUUACGAAUAAGGAUCGGCUAACUCCGUGCCAGCAGCCGCGGUAAUACGGAUGAUUCAAGCGUUAUCCGGAUUUGUGGGGUUUAAAGGGUGCGUAGGCGGUCGGAUAAGUUAGAGGUGAAAUCCCGAGGCUUAACUUCGGAAUUGCCUCUGAUACUGUUCGGCUAGAGAGUAGUUGAGGUAGGCGGAAUGUAUGGUGUAGCGGUGAAAUGCUUAGAGAUCAUACAGAACACCGAUUGCGAAGGCAGCUUACCAAGCUACUUCUGACGUUGAGGCACGAAAGCGUGGGGAGCAAACAGGAUUAGAUACCCUGGUAGUC
Molecule: ribosomal RNA, 460 nt
Filed under: uncultured bacterium
Lineage: Bacteria
Description: partial 16S ribosomal RNA
Rfam family: Bacterial small subunit ribosomal RNA
Source: RNAcentral